RNAcentral lists this ribosomal RNA (465 nucleotides) under uncultured bacterium. RNAcentral describes it as "partial 16S ribosomal RNA". It matches the Rfam family "Bacterial small subunit ribosomal RNA", at positions 338 to 795 of the family's 1533-position model. The record is from RNAcentral.
CCUACGGGGGGCAGCAGUGGGGAAUAUUGCGCAAUGGGCGAAAGCCUGACGCAGCGACGCCGCGUGAGGGAUGAAGGUCUUCGGAUCGUAAAACUUUGUCAGCAGGGAAGAACGGUCACUGUGCUAAUCAGCAGUGAAUUGACGGUACCUGAAAAGGAAGCACCGGCUAACUCCGUGCCCGCAGCCGCGGUAAUACGGAGGGUGCGAGCGUUAAUCGGAAUUACUGGGAGUAAAGCGCUCGUAGGCGGUAUGUCAAGUCAAGGGUGAAAGCGCCGGGCUCAACGUUGGAACUGCAUUUGAAACUGGCAAACUUGAGUGUGUGUGAGGAUAGUGGAAUUCGAGGUGUAGGAGUGAAAUGCGUAGAUAUCUGGAAGAACAUCAGUGGCGAAGGCGACUUUCUGGCACGUAACUGACGCUGAGGAGCGAAAGCGUGGGUAGCAAACAGGAUUAGAUACCCUUGUAGUC